Molecule: ribosomal RNA, 253 nt
Filed under: uncultured bacterium
Lineage: Bacteria
Description: partial 16S ribosomal RNA
Rfam family: Bacterial small subunit ribosomal RNA
Source: RNAcentral
UACGGAGGGUGCAAGCGUUAUCCGGAUUCACUGGGUUUAAAGGGUGCGUAGGAGGGCAGGUAAGUCCGUGGUGAAAUCUCUGAGCUUAACUCAGAAACUGCCGUGGAUACUAUCUGUCUUGAAUCCCGUGGAGAUGAGCGGAAUAUGUCAUGUAGCGGUGAAAUGCUUAGAUAUGACAUAGAACACCAAUUGCGAAGGCAGCUCGUUACACGAAGAUUGACUCUGAGGCACGAAAGCGUGGGGAUCAAACAGG